AAGAACAAGAGGCUUUUCUCUUAAACAUAAAAAUAUGUCCUUUCAAUGUAUGACAUUAUGUUGUAGCACAAUUUAUUUUGAAAUCAGAAAUUUAGAAAAUAUGAGAGAGAAAUAUAUUGCAAAAGAGUGGAUUAUAGAAUGAAGAAUGAGCAAAAAGUAACCUCGUCGAGGACACACCAGUUUGCAAAGUUAAAAGAGAGAAU
Molecule: long non-coding RNA, 203 nt
Filed under: Prunus persica (peach)
Lineage: Eukaryota; Viridiplantae; Streptophyta; Magnoliopsida; Rosales; Rosaceae
Description: long non-coding RNA (PPER_LNC001002)
Source: RNAcentral